AAGGACUUCUUCCAUUCCAGAAUAGAUAUACGGACAUUCUGUCUACACUGUAUCAGAUACUGAGAAAAACACAUAAACAGACACUGAGAAAGAAAACAUCAAACAAAAAAAGAGAAAAUCAAGAGUGAACAUCAAUAUAAAAUCAAACAAAAGAGAGUGAAGUCGAAUCUAGAUCACGUUCAAGUUUCCGAAAAUGAUAUUCAAAGUUUUUGCUUCAGAUCGUCAACAGGUUUUAUUCUACUUUGUAUUAUUCACUUUAUGAAUUUUUAUAGUGAAUUUAAAUCAUGUUCAAAUUUAUGUGAAUGAUUAUAUUUGAUUACGCGAAUCUUUAUCGUCAUAUAUUAUACUGUAAAUUUAUUGAAUAUUUAUAUAUUUGUUCAGUAAAUAUAUUAAAAAUUUAAAGAUUGUGUGUUACAUGUAGUCUGGUUUAAAAUUUAAAAAAUAAACAAAAUAGAAGGAAAAAUAGGCACGGUUACAAUCCCAUAUACUGUUACCAUUCAUAUGUACACAGAUAUUCACACAUUUCACUGCACACAUAUAGACAUCACAGUAUUUGCUUCAGAUACAGCAACUUACACAACACAAUCACCACUACACGUACGCAUACUCACAGACACUUCAAAUAGCGAUUUCUCUUUUGCACAGAUUUCACACAGUGAAAUAAAAAUGAACAGGAGAGGGGAAAAAUCAGUGAAACAAGAGAGAGAGAAAAAAAUAGAAGUUUGACGAAGAAAAGAAAAAUUGUCAGUUGUUCUUAGAUGAGAAAAAGGAAAAUCGUCAAUCUGUCUUUGAAUUUUUCGGCGAGUUUCUCACCGAAAAUCCGUCAGAAAAUUCACCAUCACCUAAAUUCACUCCAUUUUGGUCAAAAUUCCACCCUUGUGUUCGGUUUUUGGAGAAUCAACUCACCGAAAAAACACCCACCCGUUGCCGCCGGCAAAAAUACCGACCAAAUCAUCCUUUUCGCAGAAAAAUAGUGAAAACCCGCCGGUUUCCACCCCCACAAACCAAAAAUCCACUCCCCGCUGGAAUUGGUAGCCGGCAGGCGCGCCUCCACCAGCCGCCACCGCUGCUGCCUUUCUUCACCGCCCCGUUCUCUCUCUUUUCCAUCACCAAAUAAUUCUGGCAAACCUUCCCCCAAAUCGGCAAAACCCACCGGGAAACAUGGCUGCCGUUCCAUCGAUCCACCGGAGAAAAUUAACCAACAACUCCUUAUAUAUAAUCCAAACCAUAACCCCUCAAAUCCAAACUCAUAAUAUGUUUUUUUCCAUAUUCUUCCUACAGAUCUAACAAGAAGAAAAUAUAUUGGGGUGAUAGGAUAUGCACGUUAUGUGUCUGCCUAAUAGCAGUUGUGGUGUCCAUUUUUUUAUUAUUAUUUGGAUUUGGAGAAUACAUGAAUUGAAAUUUUUGUAUUUGAUUUAUCUUAAAAUAUAUAACUUGAGUUUUGUAUCAAUCUAGAGACUAGACUAUUAAUUUAGCAUAAUAUAUAGGUAGCUUUAUAUAUUUUUAUUUAUUUUAUUAUUUCAUUAUUUUUAUUUUUUUUGUAAUUAAUAAGGUUUGAAAAUUAUUUGUUAAAUUAAUUAAUUACUUUAAAUCAACUUUGCUUUAAUUUAUUGUCAAGAAUAAAUAGCAUUUCGAAUAGAUAAAAUUGUUACGAGUUUAUAAGAUAUAGAUCAAUACCUUCAACACUAGGCAAAUUUUAGGAACGAUUAAAAUUUUUGUUUCAAUAAAGAAUGCGGUGUACGCAUCUUUUCGAGACAUUUUAAAAUUCAAGGAUGCAAUAAUGCACCUUGGCAAAUAUUUUUUUAAAAUUAACUUUCAUUAAUUUAUUUAAUAUAAGAUAAUAGAUAAGUUUUAGUAUAAUAAAAAAUGAGCAAAUUUAGGCCUUAAAUAAUUUAUCAAAAAUAGUUUAAGUUAAGUAUAAGUUAAUAAAAGCAACCGUGCUAGAACCACGGAACUUGAGGGGUGCCUCACACCUUCUCCUCAGUCAAUAAAAUUUCUUACCCGAUCUGUUUUCGCAGAUCAUAAUAAAGAGUCAUUUCCUUUUGAUUAGGGAUUCAAAAAGGUGACCUGGAACACCAUAACUCAAUUCCAAGUGGUGACUCUAUAAAUGAUAAAAAUAAUCCCUAUGCAAAACCGUCAUUUUAAUGGGAAAAACCCUUUGACUCGACCUUCCGAGCGAAAAAGGGGUUUGACAUCCUUCAUUAAAAGACUCUCCUUUAGACAAAACUGUCUUUUCACUAUUUUCAUCAAUUUAUUAUUUAAUUAUUUUUAUUAUAUUAAUUAAACUCCUAAAAUAUAUGAGACUCCUAAAAUAUGAAAGAAAAAUCAAUUAAUAUUUUCAUUCGUACAGGUUACAUAUUUUAAAAAAGAAAAGAUUAUGUAUAGUUAAACAAAAACAGGGAAACACUUUUACUUUUUUGAAAAAUAUUUUUUCCUCUUUUGCCACUAUGUCCAUAAGUGUAAUUUUCGAUUGAAUUCCUUGAAGAAACUUGAGACGUUAUCAUAUUUUUGGCUAGAAACUAUUAUGUUUCGAGAAGAAUUAGGAUUAAGUAAUUACAAAUAGAAGUCUUUUAUAUAUUUACAAGUCUUUAUAUUUAUUUUUUGCAUAUAUUUAUCAUAGUCCAUAUAUAUUUUAAUUAAAAGAAAUAAGUGAAAAUAUGAUAUUGUUUAUAAUGGAGAGUUAUAAUGAAGGGCAAAAAAAUCAAAUAACUUUUCUAAUUGUUUUUUCACUAUUUUCUUCAAUUUAUUAUUUAAUUAUUUUUUAUUAUAUUAACUAGACUCCUAAAAUAUAUGGGACUCCUAAAAUAUGGAAGGAGAAUUAAUUAAUAUUUUCCUUUUUGUACUGGUCAAUUAUAAAAAUACUCCUAAAAUAGGACUCUAUUAAGGAAAUACUUUUUAUAAAUAUCGAGAUGCACGUUAUACUAGAAAAGAAACCAAUUUUCCUAUUGGGAGAAUAUGAUUGAUGCUCAUCUAACUUGAUUCGGUUACAUGUCUAGAGUGAUGGAUGCUUGAUUUUCUUAUCCUCAACUUCUUCACUGUUUUCGUCAAUAUAAUAAAUUCAACGUGUGAAUUUGUAUAUAUAUAUAUAUAUCCUUGUUUAAAUUCAAGUCAAAAUUUUCGCUUGCAAGAAUUAUUUCCAUCAAAAUCAAAGCUUUGUGAUCACAAUUGUAUUGUUUUCUUAUAGUUUAUAGAUUGUAGAUGAAUGACGGUUCGCUUUGAAGAAUUUUUUGUGUAAAGGUUAGGUUUAAUUGUAUAGUUUUGAGAUCUUUAUUAUCUUAUUUUUUAUUUUAAUUUACGUAUGGUAGAUGAAUGUCGGUCGGCGUUGUGAAUUUUUUGGUAAUUGUAUUGUCUCAAUAUCUCUAAUAGUUUAUUAUUUUGUGGUAUUUUAGAGGUCGUAGAUGAAUGUGGAUCGACUUUGAAAAUUUUUUUUUAUAGAAAAUUUAGUGUAAUUGUAUUAUUUUGAUAUCUCUUUUAUCGUGUUAUUUUGUUGUAGUUUACAGGUGCUACAUAAAUGUCUGUCGUCUUUUGAGAAAUUUUUGUACGUAAAGGUUAGGUUAUUGUAUUGUUUUAAUAUCUCAGCUUUGAGAAUUUUUUUUGUGUAAAGGUUAAGUUUAGUUGUAUUAUCUUGAUAUCUUUAUUAUCGUAUUAUUUUGUUAUAGUUUAUAAAACAUAGAUCAGUGUCAGACGACUUUACAAAAAAUUUUAUGUGAAGGUUAGAUUUGAUUAUGUUGUUUUGAUGUCUCUAUCAUCAUAUUAUUUUGUUGCAGUUUACAGGUGGUAGAUAAAUAUCGAUCGACUUUGAAAAAUAUUUUUAGUAAAAGUUAAGUUUAAUUUAAUAAAUUAUCCAUCUUGCAUAAUCAAAAGAUGUUAGAAUUUAAUUAUUGUAUUCAUAUUUAUCAUUUAAAUGAAGAUCUUAUUUAGUGUAACGCUUGAAUUCAUUAAAAUGAGAUAUACGCGCGAGGCGCGUACACCUAAACUAGUAAUUGUUAAAAGCUUAUAUUGUUUUAAUACUUUUUCCGAGUGUAGACGGAAAAAAAAGAAUUAUGUAAUAUAAUUUCUUUGUUGAUUGCAUGAUAUUAUAUUUUGUAUCUUUUAUUUUCAUGUAUGGUUAAUAACCAAAUAAUCGAACGAAACCAAACAAAUCGAUUACAACUAAAUCGAUAAAUAUCUAUUUUAUUUAAUUUGGUUGGGUUUUAAUUAUUUAAAAUCCGACUAGAUUUGGUUUGAUUUUGAUUUUGACUAAUAACCAAUCCAAACAAAACUGUGAACACCCCUAACUAGUACCCCUAACUGGCAGUUUACAGUUAUUCUUCUUAUAUCUUUUUACGAGCUCAAAUUAUCUAAAAACAUAGCUAAAUCAAAUUGAAUACCCCAAAAGGAGAUAAAAAGACACCUCCCAAUGGAUUGAAAUGCUUUAUUGGCCUUCUCACGAAGAGACUCGCUCAAUAGAUUGCAUUUGAUAAUCCACCCUUGGCAUAUGCUAAUAUGAAUUUUGUCUAGUCUUCUUUUUCUUUGUACCUUGGAGAUUCUUUGUUCACUGGCACGUAGGAAGAAGAAACUGCCCAUUUAAUGGUUAGUGUUAGCUUUUUAUAUUUACAUAAUAUGUUUUAACAAUGACAAAUUAAUUACCAAUAACAUGCAGGAUAUAUUCAAGAUAUAAUCAAGGAAAGGAAGAUCAUCUUGGAGCUAAAUUUGGAGAAACGUCUAGCGUAAUCCCUAGCUACAAAGAAGUUAAAGCUGGAUAUGGAAUAAGAAUCAAGAAAAGAUCUCAUUAGAUCCCAAAUUGAAAGAAAGACAAUCAGCAAAUCACAGAGCAACAUGGAAAGAAGAUCUCAUAAGAAAUCACGAAAGUAAGGAAGAUCACACCCUCUUCAUGGACAUAUCUGAUAUGGACAUGAAUGGUUGUAAGUCUAGCAGAUCAUAUCUUAUGUAUAGAUAUAUCUGAUGUUGACGUACCAUAUAAUGUGAAUCCGCAACCAAGAAAUUGUUAAUCUGGUCCAGUCUACUCCAUAGCUCAGUCCACUAUCAUUCAAGCCCAUCGCUCAGGCCCAACAUGAGUGACCCGACACAUUUAGUUCUUUUACUUACACUGUAUUUUUAGAUUGGAUGUAAAAUAAUACAUAUAACAUACAGAAGCUUCCAGUGAAAGACAGGCAGUUCAUUUGUUCAUCUUCACUCAGA
This 5181-nucleotide long non-coding RNA is filed under the name Capsicum annuum. Its description in RNAcentral is "long non-coding RNA (CANN_LNC019459)". Lineage: Eukaryota; Viridiplantae; Streptophyta; Magnoliopsida; Solanales; Solanaceae. The record is from RNAcentral.